RNAcentral lists this ribosomal RNA (1019 nucleotides) under uncultured bacterium. RNAcentral's name for it is "bacterial SSU rRNA". It matches the Rfam family "Bacterial small subunit ribosomal RNA", at positions 355 to 1375 of the family's 1533-position model. The record is from RNAcentral.
UGAGGAAUAUUGGUCAAUGGACGAGAGUCUGAACCAGCCAAGUAGCGUGCAGGAAGACGGCCCUAUGGGUUGUAAACUGCUUUUAUAAGGGAAUAAAGUGAGAGUCGUGACUCUUUUUGCAUGUACCUUAUGAAUAAGGACCGGCUAAUUCCGUGCCAGCAGCCGCGGUAAUACGGAAGGUCCGGGCGUUAUCCGGAUUUAUUGGGUUUAAAGGGAGCGUAGGCCGGAGAUUAAGCGUGUUGUGAAAUGUAGACGCUCAACGUCUGCACUGCAGCGCGAACUGGUUUCCUUGAGUACGCACAAAGUGGGCGGAAUUCGUGGUGUAGCGGUGAAAUGCUUAGAUAUCACGAAGAACUCCGAUUGCGAAGGCAGCUCACUGGAGCGCAACUGACGCUGAAGCUCGAAAGUGCGGGUAUCGAACAGGAUUAGAUACCCUGGUAGUCCGCACGGUAAACGAUGGAUGCCCGCUGUUGGUCUGAAUAGGUCAGCGGCCAAGCGAAAGCAUUAAGCAUCCCACCUGGGGAGUACGCCGGCAACGGUGAAACUCAAAGGAAUUGACGGGGGCCCGCACAAGCGGAGGAACAUGUGGUUUAAUUCGAUGAUACGCGAGGAACCUUACCCGGGCUUGAAUUGCAGAGGAAGGAUUUGGAGACAAUGACGCCCUUCGGGGCCUCUGUGAAGGUGCUGCAUGGUUGUCGUCAGCUCGUGCCGUGAGGUGUCGGCUUAAGUGCCAUAACGAGCGCAACCCCUCUCCUUAGUUGCCAUCAGGUUAAGCUGGGCACUCUGGGGACACUGCCACCGUAAGGUGUGAGGAAGGUGGGGAUGACGUCAAAUCAGCACGGCCCUUACGUCCGGGGCUACACACGUGUUACAAUGGCAGGUACAGAGAGAGGGUUGUACGUAAGUGCGAUCAAAUCCUUAAAGCCUGUCUCAGUUCGGACUGGGGUCUGCAACCCGACCCCACGAAGCUGGAUUCGCUAGUAAUCGCGCAUCAGCCAUGGCGCGGUGAAUACGUUCCC